CCUUCCAGCACUGCACUUUUGAUUUACCUGCACCGUUUGUGCUCCUUCACUACUGGCGUUUUCAUCUUCCAGCAAAAACUUCCACUGUACCACUAAAAGUAAUCUUUGAUUCUAACCUCAGAAUUGUUUGUCCAGGUGAAACGGAAGUGGAGUUCUCAACCAGAUUAGUCAAGAAUGCAGAGGAUCUAAUUCAUUAAAGAGGGACCAGAAACAAUUGGUGCUUUUAUCGCUGAACCAGUCAUGGUUGCUGUUCGUGUGAUACCUCCACCUGCUACGUAAUUCGAAAAGGUCCAAGCUGUUGUUUGCAGUAUGAUAUCCUGCUCAUUGCUGUUGAAGUAUGUGCAUAUCUAACUGAACCAUGUUCAUUACCAUGACCCCAAAAUCGAUGGAGAACAAAAAUACAUGACUAACCAUUUGUAUUUUGUUUGGCCUUUAAGUGAA
Long non-coding RNA from Brassica oleracea var. oleracea, 441 nucleotides. RefSeq lists it as uncharacterized. The transcript has 3 exons. The record is from RefSeq and is a predicted model, not a curated record. NCBI's taxonomy places the organism in Eukaryota, Viridiplantae, Streptophyta, Magnoliopsida, Brassicales, Brassicaceae.